RNAcentral lists this ribosomal RNA (243 nucleotides) under uncultured bacterium. RNAcentral describes it as "partial small subunit ribosomal RNA". It matches the Rfam family "Bacterial small subunit ribosomal RNA", at positions 26 to 285 of the family's 1533-position model. The record is from RNAcentral.
AGGACGAACGCUGGCGGCGUGCUUAACACAUGCAAGUCGAACGAGGUGCUUGCACCUAGUGGCGAACGGGUGAGUAACACGUGAGCAACCUGCCCUUGGCUCUGGGAUAGCCUCCGGAAACGGGGAUUAAUACCGGACAUGACCUUGGUCUGCAUGGACUGAGGUGGAAAGUUUUUCGGCCAGGGAUGGGCUCGCGGCCUAUCAGCUUGUUGGGGGGUAACGCCCACAAGGCGACGACGGGUA